RNAcentral lists this transfer RNA (60 nucleotides) under Acanthochitona avicula. Its description in RNAcentral is "tRNA-Arg". The record is from RNAcentral. Lineage: Eukaryota; Metazoa; Mollusca; Polyplacophora; Chitonida; Acanthochitonidae.
UAAAAAUGAAUAAUCAUAAAUGGUUUCGGCCCAUUAGUCGGUACUUAAUAAAUUGCCUUA